GGGAAGUUGGCUCAGUGGUAGAGUGCUUGUCUUGCAUGCAUGAGGCCCUGGGUUCAAUUCCUCA
RNAcentral lists this transfer RNA (64 nucleotides) under Dipodomys ordii (Ord's kangaroo rat). It matches the Rfam family "tRNA", at positions 1 to 63 of the family's 71-position model. From Rfam's summary of the family: Transfer RNA (tRNA) molecules are approximately 80 nucleotides in length. Their secondary structure includes four short double-helical elements and three loops (D, anti-codon, and T loops). Lineage: Eukaryota; Metazoa; Chordata; Mammalia; Rodentia; Heteromyidae. The record is from Rfam by way of RNAcentral.